AGAGUUUGAUCAUGGCUCAGAUUGAACGCUGGCGGCGUGCUUUACACAUGCAAGUCGAACGCGAAAGGGGGGCAACCCCCGAGUAGAGUGGCGAACGGGUGAGUAACGCAUCGGAACGUACCCAGUCGUGGGGGACAACCAGUCGAAAGAUUGGCUAAUACCGCAUACGCUGGAGACAGGAAAGCGGGGGACCGGAAACGGCCUCGCGCGAUUGGAGCGGCCAAUGCCCGAUUAGCUAGUUGGUGGGGUAAGAGCCCACCAAGGCGACGAUCGGUAGCUGGUCUGAGAGGAUGAUCAGCCACACUGGGACUGAGACACGGCCCAGACUCCUACGGGAGGCAGCAGUGGGGAAUUUUGGACAAUGGGGGAAACCCUGAUCCAGCCACGCCGCGUGAGGGAAGAAGGCCUUCGGGUUGUAAACCUCUUUCGGCCGGGACGAAAUCGGGUGAGUGAAUAGCUCACCUGGAUGACGGUACCGGAAGAAGAAGCACCGGCUAACUACGUGCCAGCAGCCGCGGUAAUACGUAGGGUGCGAGCGUUAAUCGGAAUUACUGGGCGUAAAGCGUGCGCAGGCGGAUGCUUAAGCCAGACGUGAAAUCCCCGGGCUUAACUUGGGAAUGGCGUUUGGGACUGAGUAUCUAGAGUGCGGCAGAGGGGGGUGGAAUUCCAGGUGUAGCAGUGAAAUGCGUAGAUAUCUGGAGGAACACCGAUGGCGAAGGCAGCCCCCUGGGCCAGCACUGACGCUCAGGCACGAAAGCGUGGGGAGCAAACAGGAUUAGAUACCCUAGUAGUCC
RNAcentral lists this ribosomal RNA (794 nucleotides) under uncultured bacterium. RNAcentral's name for it is "bacterial SSU rRNA". It matches the Rfam family "Bacterial small subunit ribosomal RNA", at positions 8 to 796 of the family's 1533-position model. The record is from RNAcentral.